GAAUGCUGACAUAAGUAACGAUAAAGCGGGUGAAAAGCCCGCUCGCCGGAAGACCAAGGGUUCCUGUCCAACGUUAAUCGGGGCAGGGUGAGUCGACCCCUAAGGCGAGGCCGAAAGGCGUAGUCGAUGGGAAACAGGUUAAUAUUCCUGUACUUGGUGUUACUGCGAAGGGGGGACGGAGAAGGCUAUGUUGGCCGGGCGACGGUUGUCCCGGUUUAAGCGUGUAGGCUGGUUUUCCAGGCAAAUCCGGAAAAUCAAGGCUGAGGCGUGAUGACGAGGCACUACGGUGCUGAAGCAACAAAUGCCCUGCUUCCAGGAAAAGCCUCUAAGCAUCAGGUAACAUCAAAUCGUACCCCAAACCGACACAGGUGGUCAGGUAGAGAAUACCAAGGCGCUUGAGAGAACUCGGGUGAAGGAACUAGGCAAAAUGGUGCCGUAACUUCGGGAGAAGGCACGCUGAUAUGUAGGUGAAGUCCCUCGCGGAUGGAGCUGAAAUCAGUCGAAGAUACCAGCUGGCUGCAACUGUUUAUUAAAAACACAGCACUGUGCAAACACGAAAGUGGACGUAUACGGUGUGACGCCUGCCCGGUGCCGGAAGGUUAAUUGAUGGGGUUAGCGGUAACGCGAAGCUCUUGAUCGAAGCCCCGGUAAACGGCGGCCGUAACUAUAACGGUCCUAAGGUAGCGAAAUUCCUUGUCGGGUAAGUUCCGACCUGCACGAAUGGCGUAAUGAUGGCCAGGCUGUCUCCACCCGAGACUCAGUGAAAUUGAACUCGCUGUGAAGAUGCAGUGUACCCGCGGCAAGACGGAAAGACCCCGUGAACCUUUACUAUAGCUUGACACUGAACAUUGAGCCUUGAUGUGUAGGAUAGGUGGGAGGCUUUGAAGUGUGGACGCCAGUCUGCAUGGAGCCGACCUUGAAAUACCACCCUUUAAUGUUUGAUGUUCUAACGUUGGCCCCUAAUCGGGGUUGCGGACAGUGUCUGGUGGGUAGUUUGACUGGGGCGGUCUCCUCCUAAAGAGUAACGGAGGAGCACGAAGGUUGGCUAAUCCUGGUCGGACAUCAGGAGGUUAGUGCAAUGGCAUAAGCCAGCUUGACUGCGAGCGUGACGGCGCGAGCAGGUGCGAAAGCAGGUCAUAGUGAUCCGGUGGUUCUGAAUGGAAGGGCCAUCGCUCAACGGAUAAAAGGUACUCCGGGGAUAACAGGCUGAUACCGCCCAAGAGUUCAUAUCGACGGCGGUGUUUGGCACCUCGAUGUCGGCUCAUCACAUCCUGGGGCUGAAGUAGGUCCCAAGGGUAUGGCUGUUCGCCAUUUAAAGUGGUACGCGAGCUGGGUUUAGAACGUCGUGAGACAGUUCGGUCCCUAUCUGCCGUGGGCGCUGGAGAACUGAGGGGGGCUGCUCCUAGUACGAGAGGACCGGAGUGGACGCAUCACUGGUGUUCGGGUUGUCAUGCCAAUGGCACUGCCCGGUAGCUAAAUGCGGAAGAGAUAAGUGCUGAAAGCAUCUAAGCACGAAACUUGCCCC
RNAcentral lists this ribosomal RNA (1525 nucleotides) under Escherichia coli. RNAcentral describes it as "partial 23S ribosomal RNA". It matches the Rfam family "Bacterial large subunit ribosomal RNA", at positions 1292 to 2800 of the family's 2925-position model. The record is from RNAcentral. Lineage: Bacteria; Pseudomonadati; Pseudomonadota; Gammaproteobacteria; Enterobacterales; Enterobacteriaceae.